GCUCAGGAUUAACGCUGGCGGCAUGCCUAAUACAUGCAAGUCGAACGAAAGUGGAGCAAUCUACUUUAGUGGCGAACGGGUGAGUAACACGUAUCUAACCUACCAUUUAGUGGGGAAUAACUGUUGGAAACGACAGCUAAUACCGCAUAUGUUAUUUAUUUGCAAUAAUAAAUAAUAAAAGGAGCAUUUGCUUCGCUAAUUGAUGGGGAUGCGGCGCAUUAACUAGUUGGUAAGGUAAUGGCUUACCAAGGUAACGAUGCGUAGCCGAUCUGAGAGGAUGAACGGCCACAUUGGGACUGAGACACGGCCCAAACUUCUACGGAAGGCAGCAGUAGGGAAUUUUUCACAAUGGGCGAAAGCCUGAUGGAGCAAUGCCGCGUGACUGAUGAAGGUCUUCGGAUUGUAAAGGUCUGUUGUAAGGGAAGAAGUACUAGAAUAGGAAAUGAUUUUAGUAUCGACCAUACCUUA
RNAcentral lists this ribosomal RNA (468 nucleotides) under uncultured Spiroplasma sp. RNAcentral describes it as "bacterial SSU rRNA". It matches the Rfam family "Bacterial small subunit ribosomal RNA", at positions 22 to 482 of the family's 1533-position model. The record is from RNAcentral. Lineage: Bacteria; Bacillati; Mycoplasmatota; Mollicutes; Entomoplasmatales; Spiroplasmataceae.